UGGGGAAUUUUGGACAAUGGGCGCAAGCCUGAUCCAGCCAUGCCGCGUGAGUGAAGAAGGCCUUCGGGUUGUAAAGCUCUUUCGGACGGGAAGAAAUGGCGGGCUCUAACAUAGCCUGUCGAUGGCGGUACCGUAAGAAGAAGCACCGGCUAACUACGUGCCAGCAGCCGCGGUAAUACGUAGGGUGCGAGCGUUAUCCGGAUUUACUGGGCGUAAAGCGCACGCAGGCGGCUCUGUUAGUCGGACGUGAAAGCUCUCGGCUUAAUCGGGAGAGGCCGUUCGAUACUGCGGGGCUUGAGGUAGGGAGAGGAAUGCGGAAUUCCCGGUGUAGUGGUGGAAUGCGUAGAUAUCGGGAGGAACACCUGUGACGAAAGCGGCAUUCUGGCCCUCACCUGACGCUGAGGUGCGAAAGCGUGGGUAGCAAACA
This 427-nucleotide ribosomal RNA is filed under the name uncultured bacterium. RNAcentral describes it as "bacterial SSU rRNA". It matches the Rfam family "Bacterial small subunit ribosomal RNA", at positions 355 to 774 of the family's 1533-position model. The record is from RNAcentral.